This 164-nucleotide ribosomal RNA is filed under the name Aglaia tomentosa. RNAcentral describes it as "5.8S ribosomal RNA". It matches the Rfam family "5.8S ribosomal RNA". From Rfam's summary of the family: 5.8S ribosomal RNA (5.8S rRNA) is a component of the large subunit of the eukaryotic ribosome. The record is from RNAcentral. RNAcentral also lists the same sequence under 1 other name. Lineage: Eukaryota; Viridiplantae; Streptophyta; Magnoliopsida; Sapindales; Meliaceae.
AGUACAACUCUCGGCAACGGAUAUCUCGGCUCUCGCAUCGAUGAAGAACGUAGCGAAAUGCGAUACUUGGUGUGAAUUGCAGAAUCCCGUGAACCAUCGAGUCUUUGAACGCAAGUUGCGCCCCAAGCCGUUAGGCCGAGGGCACGUCUGCCUGGGUGUCACGC